UACGUAGGGGGCAGGCGUUGUCCGGAUUUAUUGGGCGUAAAGAGCGUGUAGGCGGUUUGGUAGGUCCGCUGUGAAAACUCGAGGCUCAACCUCGAGACGCCGGUGGAAACCAUCAGACUAGAGUCCGGAAGAGGAGAGUGGAAUUCCUGGUGUAGCGGUGAAAUGCGCAGAUAUCAGGAAGAACACCCGUGGCUAAGGCGGCUCUCUAGUACGGUACUGACGCUGAGACGCGAAAGCGUGGGGAGCGAACAGG
RNAcentral lists this ribosomal RNA (253 nucleotides) under uncultured bacterium. RNAcentral's name for it is "partial 16S ribosomal RNA". It matches the Rfam family "Bacterial small subunit ribosomal RNA", at positions 524 to 776 of the family's 1533-position model. The record is from RNAcentral.